RNAcentral lists this ribosomal RNA (464 nucleotides) under Vreelandella stevensii. RNAcentral's name for it is "partial 16S ribosomal RNA". It matches the Rfam family "Bacterial small subunit ribosomal RNA", at positions 338 to 795 of the family's 1533-position model. Lineage: Bacteria; Pseudomonadati; Pseudomonadota; Gammaproteobacteria; Oceanospirillales; Halomonadaceae. The record is from RNAcentral.
CCUACGGAGGCUGCAGUGGGGAAUAUUGGACAAUGGGCGAAAGCCUGAUCCAGCCAUGCCGCGUGUGUGAAGAAGGCCUUCGGGUUGUAAAGCACUUUCAGUGGGGAAGAAAGCCUUGGGGCUAAUACCCUCGAGGAAGGACAUCACCCACAGAAGAAGCACCGGCUAACUCCGUGCCAGCAGCCGCGGUAAUACGGAGGGUGCGAGCGUUAAUCGGAAUUACUGGGCGUAAAGCGCGCGUAGGCGGUCUGAUAAGCCGGUUGUGAAAGCCCCGGGCUCAACCUGGGAACGGCAUCCGGAACUGUCAGGCUAGAGUGCAGGAGAGGAAGGUAGAAUUCCCGGUGUAGCGGUGAAAUGCGUAGAGAUCGGGAGGAAUACCAGUGGCGAAGGUGGCCUUCUGGACUGACACUGACGCUGAGGUGCGAAAGCGUGGGUAGCAAACAGGAUUAGAUACCCGAGUAGUC